Molecule: ribosomal RNA, 808 nt
Filed under: uncultured Acidobacteriota bacterium
Lineage: Bacteria; Pseudomonadati; Acidobacteriota
Description: bacterial SSU rRNA
Rfam family: Bacterial small subunit ribosomal RNA
Source: RNAcentral
AAAGUGGAGCAAUCCAUGAGUAGAGUGGCGAACGGGUGAGUAACACGUGGGUGACCUACCUUCGAAUGGGGGAUAACGUCCCGAAAGGGACGCUAAUACCGCAUAACAUCCUGCUUUUGAACAGGUGGAGAUCAAAGCCGGGGAUCGCAAGACCUGGCGUUUGAAGAGGGGCCCGCGUCUGAUUAGCUAGUUGGUGAGGUAACGGCCCACCAAGGCAACGAUCAGUAUCCGGCCUGAGAGGGCGGACGGACACACUGGGACUGAGACACGGCCCAGACUCCUACGGGAGGCAGCAGUGGGGAAUUGUUCGCAAUGGGCGCAAGCCUGACGACGCAACGCCGCGUGGAGGAUGAAGGUCUUCGGAUUGUAAACUCCUGUUGCCCGGGACGAAACGUUUCGACCUAACACGUCGAGACCUGACGGUACCGGGUGAGGAAGCCCCGGCUAACUCUGUGCCAGCAGCCGCGGUAAUACAGAGGGGGCAAGCGUUGUUCGGAAUUACUGAGCGUAAAGGGCGCGUAGGCAGCCUUCUAAGUCGAACGUGAAAUCCCCGGGCUCAACCCGGGAACUGCGUCCGAUACUGGAAGGCUUGAAUCCGGGAGAGGGAUGCGGAAUUCCAGGUGUAGCGGUGAAAUGCGUAGAUAUCUGGAGGAACACCGGUGGCGAAGGCGGCAUCCUGGACCGGCAUUGACGCUGAGGCGCGAAAGCCAGGGGAGCAAACGGGAUUAGAUACCCCGGUAGUCCUGGCCCUAAACGAUGAAUGCUUGGUGUGGUGGGUAUCGAUCCCUGCCGUGCCGAAGCUAACGCA